Molecule: ribosomal RNA, 491 nt
Filed under: uncultured bacterium
Lineage: Bacteria
Description: partial 16S ribosomal RNA
Rfam family: Bacterial small subunit ribosomal RNA
Source: RNAcentral
AGUGAACGCUGGCGGUAGGCCUAACACAUGCAAGUCGAACGGCAGCACAGUAAGAGCUUGCUCUUACGGGUGGCGAGUGGCGGACGGGUGAGGAAUACAUCGGAAUCUACUUUUUCGUGGGGGAUAACGUAGGGAAACUUACGCUAAUACCGCAUACGACCUACGGGUGAAAGCAGGGGAUCUUCGGACCUUGCGCGAUUGAAUGAGCCGAUGUCGGAUUAGCUAGUUGGCGGGGUAAAGGCCCACCAAGGCGACGAUCCGUAGCUGGUCUGAGAGGAUGAUCAGCCACACUGGAACUGAGACACGGUCCAGACUCCUACGGGAGGCAGCAGUGGGGAAUACUGGACAAUGGGCGCAAGCCUGAUCCAGCCAUACCGCGUGGGUGAAGAAGGCCUUCGGGUUGUAAAGCCCUUUUGUUGGGAAAGAAAAGCAGCAGGUUAAUACCCCGCUGUUCUGACGGUACCCAAAGAAUAAGCACCGGCUAACUUCGU